RNAcentral lists this ribosomal RNA (164 nucleotides) under Micropyrum tenellum. RNAcentral describes it as "5.8S ribosomal RNA". The stretch from base 1 to 145 matches the Rfam family "5.8S ribosomal RNA". From Rfam's summary of the family: 5.8S ribosomal RNA (5.8S rRNA) is a component of the large subunit of the eukaryotic ribosome. It is transcribed by RNA polymerase I as part of the 45S precursor that also contains 18S and 28S rRNA. Lineage: Eukaryota; Viridiplantae; Streptophyta; Magnoliopsida; Poales; Poaceae. The record is from RNAcentral.
ACGGAUAUCUCGGCUCUCGCAUCGAUGAAGAACGUAGCGAAAUGCGAUACCUGGUGUGAAUUGCAGAAUCCCGCGAACCAUCGAGUCUUUGAACGCAAGUUGCGCCCGAGGCCUUUUGGCUAAGGGCACGCCUGCCUGGGCGUCACGCCAAACACGCUCCAACC